Small nucleolar RNA from Melanotaenia boesemani (Boeseman's rainbowfish), 142 nucleotides. RefSeq annotates it as small nucleolar RNA SNORA79. NCBI's taxonomy places the organism in Eukaryota, Metazoa, Chordata, Actinopteri, Atheriniformes, Melanotaeniidae. The record is from RefSeq and is a predicted model, not a curated record. The transcript has a single exon.
UGAUGUCCGUUCCUCUUCCUGUCCCCAGUCCUUCAGGAGGAUUUAAAGACGUCAGAGAAAAUGGGGUCUUUUUCACCCAGGAAGCUUCGGGCUUCGGCCCAAAAUAAAACCGGCUUCCUGGUUUUUGCGGGACCCAACAGAC